This 361-nucleotide unclassified non-coding RNA is filed under the name uncultured bacterium. Its description in RNAcentral is "contains 16S-23S intergenic spacer region". The record is from RNAcentral.
UCCCCGUUACCGGGGCAGUCUAGCUAGAGAAAUUCAACUAACUAUAAGGGUUGCGCUCGUUAAUGGACUUAACCAAACAUCUCACGACACGAGCUGACGACGGCCAUGCAACACCUGUCACUGCGGCCCGAAGGCACUAUCUCCUUUCGGAGUUAUUAGCAGGAUGUCAAACCUUGGUAAGGUUCUACGCUUAUCGUCGAAUUAAACAACACGCUCCACCGCUUGUGCGGGUCCCCGUCAAUUCCUUUAUGUUUUAGUCUUGCGACCGUACUCCACAGGCGGGAUGCUUAACGCGUUAGCUUCGCUACUAGAAGGGUCGAUACUUCUAACAGCUAGCAUCCAUCGUUUACAGCGUGGACUA